UACGUAGGGUCCGAGCGUUGUCCGGAAUUAUUGGGCGUAAAGGGCUCGUAGGCGGUUUGUCGCGUCGGGAGUGAAAACCUUGGGCUUAACUCAGGGCUUGCUUUCGAUACGGGCAGACUAGAGGUAUGCAGGGGAGAACGGAAUUCCUGGUGUAGCGGUGGAAUGCGCAGAUAUCAGGAGGAACACCGGUGGCGAAGGCGGGUCUCUGGGCAGUAACUGACGCUGAGGAGCGAAAGCGUGGGGAGCGAACAGG
Molecule: ribosomal RNA, 253 nt
Filed under: uncultured bacterium
Lineage: Bacteria
Description: partial 16S ribosomal RNA
Rfam family: Bacterial small subunit ribosomal RNA
Source: RNAcentral